RNAcentral lists this small nuclear RNA (21 nucleotides) under Arabidopsis thaliana (thale cress). Its description in RNAcentral is "snRNA_13390". Lineage: Eukaryota; Viridiplantae; Streptophyta; Magnoliopsida; Brassicales; Brassicaceae. The record is from RNAcentral.
CUGAUUUGUUGCUAAGGUCAU